AUAUCUCUCUGUACGGGAAGGAUGAGAAGCUUCGACUAAGGUUCGAUUCGAGCGUCAGCGAGAAAGCGUUGCCGCAGGCA
This 80-nucleotide small RNA is filed under the name Salmonella enterica. RNAcentral's name for it is "partial RtT sRNA". It matches the Rfam family "RtT RNA", at positions 1 to 78 of the family's 130-position model. From Rfam's summary of the family: This family represents a bacterial cis-regulatory element known as RtT RNA. The exact function of RtT is unknown although it is thought that it may be involved in changing the cellular response in relation to amino acid starvation. RNAcentral also lists the same sequence under 4 other names. Lineage: Bacteria; Pseudomonadati; Pseudomonadota; Gammaproteobacteria; Enterobacterales; Enterobacteriaceae. The record is from RNAcentral.